GAGAGUAGCAGGCGGUUUUCUAAGUCUGAUGUGAAAGCCUUCGGCUUAACCGGAGAACGGUGCAUCGGAAACUGGAUAACUUAGAGUGCAGAAGAGGGUAGUGGAACUCCGAUGUGUAGCGGUGGAAUGCGUAGAUAUAUGGAAGAACACCAGUGGCGAAGGCGGCGUACCUCGGUCUGACAACUGACGCUGAGACUCGAAAGCAUGGGUAGCGAACAGGAUUAGAUACCCUGGUAG
Molecule: ribosomal RNA, 237 nt
Filed under: uncultured bacterium
Lineage: Bacteria
Description: partial 16S ribosomal RNA
Rfam family: Bacterial small subunit ribosomal RNA
Source: RNAcentral